This 257-nucleotide ribosomal RNA is filed under the name uncultured bacterium. Its description in RNAcentral is "partial 16S ribosomal RNA". It matches the Rfam family "Bacterial small subunit ribosomal RNA", at positions 524 to 776 of the family's 1533-position model. The record is from RNAcentral.
UACGGGGGGAGCAAGCGUUGUUCGGAUUUACUGGGCGUUAAAGGGCGCGGUAGGCGGUCGUGACAAGUCACUUGUGAAAUCUCCGGGCUUAACUCGGAACGGUCAAGUGAUACUGUCGGACUAGAGUACAGAAGGGGCAACUGGAAUUCUCGGUGUAGCGGGUGAAAUGCGUAGAUAUCAGGAGGAACACCGGUGGCGAAGGCGGGUCUCUGGGCCGAUACUGACGCUGAGGAGCGAAAGCGUGGGGAGCGAACAGG